This is a long non-coding RNA of Carlito syrichta (Philippine tarsier), 498 nucleotides long. RefSeq lists it as uncharacterized. The record is from RefSeq and is a predicted model, not a curated record. The transcript has 3 exons. NCBI's taxonomy places the organism in Eukaryota, Metazoa, Chordata, Mammalia, Primates, Tarsiidae.
CGCCUGGAGGGCAGCGGCCCGGCCCUCGCCACGUUCCCGAGGGAACUCGGGACGCGUGCUUAGGUGGCUUUGGGUCUAUCGAUCGCCGGCUGUGUGCAGGGUCUUUCUGUCGUGCGCGUGAAAAGGUUGUACUGCAUCAAUCUGUCGUGCUGCCCUGCCCCGCCCCGGUGUAAAAUAACUCGCUGUGGAGGCUCACGGUGCGGAUGAGACCUGUUUCCAGGUUCCGAACUUGGCGGAAGUUGAGUGAAUGUCACCAACUUGGCAGGUGGAAGACGGUUGCGUGAAGCGUACACUGCUGUUAGCUCAACACCAUCUGGGAGCACAACGGUGACUUAAGGUUGUCCUCGGUGAGGAUUUUGAAAAUAGGACCUUCAUAAGAGUUUGGAUCAUUUAAAGUUCCCAGAAGCCUGAGGAGUACUGAAACAAGUGACUUUGUAUAAUUCACAAAUAUACAUUUAUAACUGAGGAUAUGAAUAAAUAUUUUAAUGUGUUUGAGGA